Molecule: ribosomal RNA, 232 nt
Filed under: uncultured bacterium
Lineage: Bacteria
Description: partial 16S ribosomal RNA
Rfam family: Bacterial small subunit ribosomal RNA
Source: RNAcentral
UACGAAGGGGGCUAGCGUUGCUCGGAAUGACUGGGCGUAAAGGGCGCGUAGGCGGUGUACACAGUCAGGCGUGAAAUUCCCGGGCUCAACCUGGGGGCUGCGCUUGAUACAUGUACGCUUGAGUUCGGAAGAGGGUCGUGGAAUUCCCAGUGUAGAGGUGAAAUUCGUAGAUAUUGGGAAGAACACCGGUGGCGAAGGCGGCGACCUGGUCCGAUACUGACGCUGAGGCGCG